Chroicocephalus ridibundus (black-headed gull) is the source of this 5655-nucleotide long non-coding RNA. RefSeq lists it as uncharacterized. The transcript is spliced from 3 exons. NCBI's taxonomy places the organism in Eukaryota, Metazoa, Chordata, Aves, Charadriiformes, Laridae. The record is from RefSeq and is a predicted model, not a curated record.
UCUUUGCUUUCAACAUCUAAAUAUCUAUAGAUGGGGUGUUACUGGAAAUCAUGUGACUUCCUGAAGUUUAGCUUCCCCUGCUUGUAAACACAUGUAGGAAUUUCACUUUCUGAUCGCUGGAAACUAAAAGUGAGAUACUUCUCAGUAAACUUUUGCUCUACAAAAAAAUUAUGUUCAUGAAAAUAAUUUCCUCAACUUACGCUAAUCUUCUUAAAACUGCAAUAUUCAGCCAUAACCUUCUUUUACAAAGCUCGGACGUGUCGGCACAAAGCCAAGAGAUAUCUGCCUAGACACACCAGGCUGGAAUUUGGGGAAUGUAAAGUGGAAGCUUAGCCGUAGUGGCAGCACCUGGGAGCAGCCAGCCUUCAUACCCACCUUUGGAAAACACAGAAUAUAAGUCUCAAGUCCAGGGGGAACCAGUUCAUACGAAUCUCUGAAAGGACCUACCACCAUCCGUGCAGUUGAAGGGAUCAAGUUACUGAAGAGCAGUAGAGGAGAAAGACAUUUGGGGUCUGUGCUUUUGCACCACUCAGGCACGCCCCCCACCCCAUUGUAGCAGAGAAGAUAACGCUCCAGCCAGAGAACUUGUUUCCAAUGUCAGCCUGUAACCAGCUUACGCCUGAAGAAAAAAGAGACUGAUCAGCCAUUGUGGUCUUUAUCCUGGCAGUUGAAUAGCCUGCGUGAAUAUCAACAUUAUCAUAAAUCACUCAAUUGCUGAAAGUCAUCUUCCCCUCAGAAGGAGCUGAAUAGCAACCGUUUCUAAAUCCUUAUGUACAUCCAUUUACAGCAGCUGAGCUGUGGGAGUAUAUAGACCUAUUUUUCAGCUAGCAUGGUAAUCAAGCCAUUCCUCAUUUAAGAGUGGAUUCAUUUGCCUCGGUAUUAGUCCCAAAUAAUAGUUCCAGAAAUUGAUAUGUAAUCUCCAACUAAAACUAAGUUUAAGCUGAGGCCACCAGGCUCCUUUAUUCCUCAAAACACAUUUAAAGUCCCCAGCCAGACUCUCAUCUUGGUCUGAAUCUGAACAUACUGCAUCACAAUUUGAAAGCCACCGCUUUAAACGGGUGUUUCUCAGUAGCCCCAGUCUAGCCAUAAAGAUCAGAAUCUGUCCUUAAUAUCUCUGCACACUGGUACUGUGCAGAACUAGCUCCAGACUAUUUAUAGCUCACACUAUAUAUAAACACUGCAGCUUCUAAAAGCAUAUUUUAUCUUUUGGGAGGACAAUGCUUUCAGAAACGUAAUAAAAGGCAAAGUUUUGUUAAAAAAAAAAGAAAAAAAUCUGCUCAAACCCUUAACCUGGAAGAGUGGCCCCAUGCUGCCAAUCAGAUAAUAAGCUUAAUUAUUACAUCACACUUUAUUUGUAGCUCACUGUGUAGUUAAUGGUUGCAGCUUAUCUAACAGGAGAAAUGUGAAACCAGAGUUUUAGAACAAUAGAAACAAGGCUGUCACCAGCAGGCUGCCAAUGAAUCACGGCCCCGCAGUCAAGUUCCCCCAGAAGGUCAUCUGUAACAGAAAUACAUCUCCGCCUGGAGCUGGCAAAACGCUGAAAAGUGUUUCUCAGAUUUACCCUAAUAAAAUAUCCAGCAGAUCCAUUACCAGAACAACUUCACCUGGUUGUAUUUUUAAGUUCUGUUGAUUGCAAGACUUAAUAGUAAAGGUUACCGAGCGAGCAGGACGCUUGCUUCUGUGCCUGGGAUUCUAGAGCGGGUUUUACCUUAACCCUAAAUUCAAGACCUCUAAACCUCAAGCUUUUACAAACCUUACGGGAAAAGUGAUUUACUGUUCUCUUUUACAUUUUCAAAAAAAGAAAAAAUUAUUUUUAAACACUAAGUAACUUUCUUCCAUACCAUUCAGAACUGAAACCCUGAAACCACGACAGACAGCGAGGUCUGUGAAAAGGAUUCGCCAAGACACAGAAAGCAGCGCUGACGCUUUCAUGUCCAGAGAGAUAUGCAGAAAAAGAACAAGGAAGUACAAAAAAAAAAAAAAAAUCAGGUACUACCUGUGCCAUAAAUAUGGAAACUGGUUUUGCUCAUACAUAAUUAUUUUGAAGUAACUGCUCUGUCUGCAGCUUAAAGACAAAAAAAAAAAUUUCUUCUGCUGCACUCGCAAAAGAGCUCCAGAUUUUCUGCAAGAGGGAAAAGAACAGAUGAUGGGGGGAGCUGUUCUUUUCAGACGAAUGUCAUUGGCACAAACAGCUGGCAGUUGGUAGCAUAUUAUUUAUACGUGCAGUUGCUCAUGUUUUUUAACAGAUAAGAAAGCAAUAUCUCAUUUGCAAUUCAGGUGAGGCACAUGAGUGGCUCUACAGCGCCACUGGCCCCUGGGCCAUGUUUCUUAUCGUAUCAGAAACAUCUGUCACGGUGCAAAUGAGUUCAUUAUGAAAGCAUAUCAAAUAUGCAGUUUCAGGAUGAGACAGCAGCCUGCAAAGGAACCAGAAAACCAGCCUCCCCCUGCAAAAGCUGGGAUGGUCUGUCCCAUAGUCACCAGCUGGGAGGAGGGCAAGCACUGGGAGGGGUACGAGGGAGAAAAAGAGAGAGAAACCUCGGAAGUGUCACGAUUAUAAAUUAUCCCUUCUGUAGGAGCCGACUGCGUCUGAGAACGGGCUUGCUCAGGAGGGCCUGGCGGUUCACACAGAGCAUGCAGACACGCUGCAAAAUGAUUGUCACAUCGCUCCACACCAAGUCCUCUGCUCCUCCAGGCUGCAACGGACCUCACUAAUGCUGGCCUUUGCGGUCCAGAGGACUUUCCUUGACAAAAUACCAAUAGGACGGCUACAAAAGAUACAUGGGGAGGUGGUCAGCGUGGGGGUUACAAUUAGAAGUGCACUUGUGGGGGCUCCGUGGCCAGAGAUGGAAACGAAUCCAUUUUAAGGGCAGCAGACUGUAAGAUGACAGGAGCUUCCACUUCCAGGGAAGUCAAGGUGCAUCUUUGAUCCCGGCUGAGAAGAAAAACAGGAUGCAUUGGAAACCGCUCACACCCCCACGUUCAUCUCCGCUGUAAUGCUGCACCUGGCACAAAUUUAGAAUGCAAUGAUUUGUAAUAUGGGCCGUGUUUGUCUCUAGUGGUGUUCUCCAGGGCUGGGUCUCAUACCCCUGUGAGUACAACAACGUUUUUGUCCUCUCUUUAGCAGGGACGAAGUCAGCUCAAGGUGACUUCAGAAUCCCUUGUGCCUAGAAGAGGCCUAGAAAUGCCUGUGUAGCUCUGGAAGCAGGCGGCUGGAUUGAGACCCCCAUCUGUGUCGCGCUGAGUCACCGCUACCUGCUGUGCCUUUGGGCUUUUAUUGAAAAAUACAAGAGAAAAACGACCGUGUCUUUUGCUCUUGCUGAGAAACCCCUCUGAACUUCAGCUGAUGCACAGGGGAGAGCUGCGGACAGACCCUGGGCUGGACCAUUACCUUCUUUAGCCCCUGCACAGCAGCCAGGCACACGCUGCCUUUUCUGUCCCAUCAGAGACCGCUUUGGUGAGCCUGUGAUGGCGGCGGCUGCUGCACUUGUGGAUAAAAUGUGAAACAUCCUCAUUUUCCCCCCCAAAGGAGUACUAAAACCAGGCACGCGGCUUAAGGAAAACAGAGAAAAAUACCUAUUUUAACUUUGCUUCUAAUCACAAAACAUAUAUUCUUAAAUAUGCAUACAUCGGCAGAAACAGUGGGUAAGGGCUCCCGUUCUAAAACAAACAGAAACAUGCACUUUGAGCCCUCAUAUGAAAUGGCAGUAAAAGCCCAACCCAAUAAUUAUUUUCCUUGAUUUUGAGCCAGACGAGGCACAAGACAAAUAAGUCAUCAAGGACAAAUAAAAGGAGGUUCAUUCAUCGCAUUCAGGGCUGGAAUCUUUAAUGGUCACCAAAUGAACUAAGAUAACUAAGUAACCAUUGUAAAUAUUAAUCUUUAAAGGAAAACAAUACUCCCAACAACAGGAAGCCUGAUAAGACAUUGGAUGUUGCCAUCAGUGUUAUGGAGUCUCUCUAAUUUCCUUAGUUUUUUCUUAUGCCUGUAGAGGGAUCAGGAAGGGGAACAUAUGGUAUCUCUCAAAGGAAGUAAAUUAACAUUAUUAAUAGCUAAUGUGGGAGAGGUGAAACAGUGAUUGUUCGUGGUGGUUGUUAUUGUGCUUUUGUUGGGGGGGGGGGGAGCCUGCCUGCUAGUGAGUUUAAGCGCUCAAGCCAAAUUCAAAAUCUUGUAUUUAUAAACAGAGAUCUGAUAACAGUUGCCUAAGCAUCCAUGAUGCUUUGCCAGCGCACGCACGUCAAGCUGAUCUGAAAGGGACUGUGUCUUGGGGUUUGUCCUAGGAGUUAGCUAACGCAGAUGAGAACUUAUGGCACGGUGCCUGCUCCCGGAUGACUCCUCACGUGGACCCUCAUGUUCUUCUUCGCAUUAGUUUAGUUUGAAGCAGAAGGAACGAGGAUGGGUAGACCGGCACUUCUGAGGAAGAGCUGUCCUCUGGCAUCCACUGAGGCAGCUGGUCAAGGGGCCAUUGAGGAGGUGGGUUCUCACAGGCAGCGGUCACUGACAUGGGACAUCUACUGUCAAGUGCACAGUGAUGGCAUCAGCGGGUUUCUGAGGGCCGUGCAGCAGUGUGAUAUGCAAGUGGGAGAAUUAUUUUGUGGGAAGCGAUGAUAACAAAGUGCUGUAUUAGGAUGGAUUGAACUGGUGACCUGGAAGGGUCUCUCAGAGUCCUGGGACCGCUUGCAGUUUCCCUGCACUAAGAGAAUAAUUUCCCUUUCUCAGGCCUCUGCUUUCAUCUCUCUCCCAGAGUAUGUAGAGUAUUUAUUUACCCUAAAUAACAUUGACACUUAAAGAAUAUACGUUGUAAGCCGUUGCUACUCAAGAGAACGGGACCGUGAUCCCAGCCUCAGCUCUGUUUGUCCCAGAGCACCUGAAAGCAUAAAAUGCAUUUCUGAUUUUCUCAAGAGAUCCUAUACUUCCUGCUUUCUUCUCAAUCAUGAAAGCCUGAGACAAUUCCUAGCUGUCCUGGCAGAGGUGGACUUCAUGACACCUUUCAUGCUGAGAUGAUCUGCAAAAUUGGCAGAUCUCAGUAAAAACAAGAGGACUUGAUUAAAAUUACCCAGUGAGCUCAGUAGAUACAAGCAAUUUCUGGGGAAAUUGUUCAAUAAACUCUUUAGAAAGAAAACAGUGAAUUUUUGGUAUAAUUAAUUCACUGAAUCUUAAUAAAAAUUGAGUAGCCCAGUAAGAAAACCUCAUGCUUCAGGGCACGUGGUGAUUGCUUUAUACAGACAAAGGAAUUCUCUCUGCCCUUGAAAGCUUAUACUUCAACUGCAAGUUGACAGCUGGAUUUUGGUUUCUAGGCCUGAAGAGGACAACUUGAAUACCUUAAGACAGUAUAGACUUCAGCUAAACUUAGACAGGUGCAACUGCUCCGUAAGGAAACCAUACAACUCUCCUUGAAGAGAGAACUCAGUAAACUCUGAUUAUGUUUGUGUCUUAAAGCUGGUCUAAAAUACCUCUUCCUGGGUGAUGAUGGGAUAUUUUAUUUCUUAAGAAACUCAUCACAUUGACCAAAAAGUUCAUGAAAGGCUGACAGGGCUGUGCAUUGUUUGCUGGCGCUGUAGAGUUAUAUGACAAGGAUAAAUUGUUCUCUGUGCUGAAGCCUGGGUGGUUUAUAACAUCGUGAAGUUUUCCACACUGCCAAUUUUAGGGCCCUUUAGUAU